Molecule: ribosomal RNA, 254 nt
Filed under: uncultured bacterium
Lineage: Bacteria
Description: partial 16S ribosomal RNA
Rfam family: Bacterial small subunit ribosomal RNA
Source: RNAcentral
UACGAAGGGGGCUAGCGUUACUCGGAUUGACUGGGCGUAAAGGGCGCGUAGGCGGAUGGUACAGUCAGACGUGAAAUUCCUGGGCUCAACCUGGGGGCUGCGUUUGAUACAUGCUGUCUGGAGUUCGGAAGAGGGUCGUGGAAUUCCCAGUGUAGAGGUGAAAUUCGUAGAUAUUGGGAAGGAACACCGGUGGCGAAGGCGGCGACCUGGUCCGAUACUGACGCUGAGGCGCGAAAGCGUGGGGAGCAAACAGG